AUCUUUUUAGUAUAUAAAAUAUACUUGACUUCCAAUCAAGGGAUCCUGAUAAAGGAAAAGAUA
RNAcentral lists this transfer RNA (63 nucleotides) under Rubiconia intermedia. RNAcentral describes it as "tRNA-Gly". Lineage: Eukaryota; Metazoa; Arthropoda; Insecta; Hemiptera; Pentatomidae. The record is from RNAcentral.